AUGAGUUUACCAGGGAAGAAUCCUCCGGCGGUGGCCGGAGGAAUGCAGCAAUGGCUCUCAUCCAUCGUUAUGUCAGCGGUGGCUCUGUUGCUGACCCUGGGGCCUACACAUGCUCAAGGUAGCUGUGAUAUCUUUCGUGGGAACUGGGUUCCUGAUUCUUCUGGGCCACUGUACACGAGCAGCUCUUGCCCUCUGAUCAUACGCGCGGAGAACUGCCAGGCGAAUGGGCGGCCGGACAAGGGGUAUGAGAACUGGAGAUGGAAGCCCGAGCGGUGCGCUCUCCCGCGCUUUGACGCAAGGAAGUUCCUGAAGCUGAUGAGGGGCAAGACACUUGCUUUCGCUGGGGAUUCGAUUGCUCAGAACCAGAUGGAGUCUCUCCUUUGCAUCCUAUGGCAGGUGGACACCCCAAUAAACCUUAGCGAUCGUAGGAUGAGUAGGUGGAUAUUCAAUUCGACCUCAAUAACUAUUAUCCGCAUAUGGUCUCCUUGGCUAUUAUACAAUUCAAAAGAAGCUGUGGGAAUUGCCCCCGAGGGUCUUAAUAAGGUUUUCCUCGAUAUCACAGAUAAGACGUUGAUGGAAUUUCUCCCAGGUUUUGAUGUCCUGGUCCUCUCUUUUGGACAUUGGUUUGUCACACCAUCGGCCUAUAUCCUGAAUGGCACAGUCGUUGGAGGGCAGAGCUGGUGGCCUCUUGAAGCUGGAAAGAUGCAGAUGAACAACAUUGAUGCUUUUGGUGCAUCCACCGAGACUUGCCUAACUGCUGUGGCUACUAACCCAAAUUUCAAAGGUAUAGCUAUUUUGAGCACAUACUCACCGGACCAUUACGAACGCGGGGCAUGGAAUGUUGGUGGAUCAUGCACUGGGAAGGUUAACCCCUUGGAUAAGGCGAUGAGGGAUGUAUUCAUAGAUGCAAUGUAUGCAAAACAAGUUGCGGGCUUUAGAAAGGUAGUCAAGAAUUCUGGAGAACAAGGAUCCAAGUUGAAACUAAUGAGCAUCACAGAACCCUUUGCCUUAAGGGUUGAUGGGCAUCCUGGACCAUACACAAAUCUGGACCCAAACAAGAAGACUCAAAGAGGGCCGGAUGGAAGGCCUCCACCUCAGGAUUGUCUACAUUGGUGCAUGCCAGGACCUAUAGAUACAUGGAACGAGAUGCUAUUUGAGACCAUACGAAGAUAA
This 1173-nucleotide ribosomal RNA is filed under the name Triticum aestivum (bread wheat). RNAcentral describes it as "partial small subunit ribosomal RNA". Lineage: Eukaryota; Viridiplantae; Streptophyta; Magnoliopsida; Poales; Poaceae. The record is from RNAcentral.